Molecule: RNA transcript, 3819 nt
Organism: Cucumis sativus (cucumber)
Lineage: Eukaryota; Viridiplantae; Streptophyta; Magnoliopsida; Cucurbitales; Cucurbitaceae
Gene name: nuclear poly(A) polymerase 4
Exons: 15
Source: RefSeq, a predicted model, not a curated record
CCCGCGUCGACGCCCUCUUUCCUUCAUCUUCUUCGCUCUCUCUCUCUCUCUCUCUCUCUCGCUCUCUCUCUCUCUCUCUCUCUCUCUCUUUCUGUCUGUGCAGCUCUGAGUUUGACCGGUUUUUGAACCGUCAACCCAUCGCCGGUACGGACUAAGGGUUCGAUCUGUUCUCUCUUCCUACUUUUCCAGCCUUCUCUUUCUGUUUCCCCUGUUUGCUUCUCUAUGCUUUCUUAUUCUAAUUCAUCCUCUCCUAUCAAAUCUUGAUCCCAAUUACCCCAUUUCAUCUUCUAUUUUCGGGACAGUUACAUCACAAUUGCUUUUUUGAGUUAGCUUCAGUUUUCUCUCAUUUUCUCAGAUCCUUUUCGUCAAUUCUCGGUCAGAUUCAGAGUUGCUGCGUGAUUCCUCGUGUUUGUGUUAGCUCUGUCUUUUUCGCUGUUUAAGAAAUGGUGGGUUCUGACUGUUCAACUGGGUUACCCUCGGUGUCACAUCCGGUGACGAAUUAUGGUGUUACGAAACCGAUUUCUCUUGCUGGGCCGAUGGAUGCUGAUAUUCACCGCAAUAUCGAACUGGAGAAGUUCUUGGUUGACUCGGAGCUUUACGAAAGUAAAGAAGAAGCUGCUAAAAGAGAAGAAGUUCUGGGACGCAUUGAUCAGAUUGUUAAAAGUUGGGUCAAGCAAUUAACCCUCCUAAGAGGAUACACAGAGCAGAUGGUGGAGGAUGCAAAUGCUGUAAUUUUUACUUUCGGGUCUUACCGUCUUGGGGUACAUGGACCAGGAAGUGACAUAGACACUUUGUGUGUUGGACCAUCUUACGUGAAUAGAGAAGACUUCUUCAUCAUCUUGCAUAAUAUAUUGGCUGAAAUGGAAGAGGUUACCGAUCUUCAACCGGUUCCUGAUGCUCAUGUUCCAGUAAUGAGAUUCAAAUUUCUGGGAAUAUCAAUUGAUCUUCUGUAUGCGAGCAUUUCCCUACUGGUGGUCCCAGAAGACCUGGACAUCUCUCAUGGAUCUGUGUUGUAUAAUGUUGAUGAACAAACUGUUCGAAGCCUUAAUGGGUGCAGAGUUGCAGAUCAAAUUCUAAGACUAGUUCCAAACGUUGAGCAUUUCCGCACGACACUUAGAUGCUUGAAGUUUUGGGCGAAAAGACGGGGUGUAUAUUCAAAUGUCACUGGGUUCCUUGGAGGUGUAAAUUGGGCACUUUUGGUUGCUCAGGUAUGCCAGCUUUACCCCAACGCAAUUCCAAGCAUGCUAGUUUCUCGUUUCUUCAGAGUGUACACCCAGUGGCGUUGGCCAAAUCCUGUAAUGCUAUGUUCGAUAGAAGAGAAUGAACUUGGAUUUCCUGUUUGGGAUCCUCGUAGAAAUCCUCGUGAUCGAUUUCAUCUUAUGCCAAUAAUAACUCCAGCUUACCCUUGCAUGAACUCUAGCUAUAAUGUCUCAACUAGUACUCUUCGUGUUAUGAUGGAACAAUUCCGCUAUGGUAAUAGCAUCUGCGAGGAGAUUGACUUGAGCAAAGCCCAGUGGAGUGCUUUGUUUGAGCCAUAUUUAUUUUUCGAGACAUACAAAAACUAUCUACAGGUGGAUAUAAUUGCAGCAGAUGCCGACGAUUUGCUAGCUUGGAAGGGAUGGGUAGAAUCUCGCUUUAGACAGCUUACCUUAAAGAUAGAGAGGGACACCAGGGGGAUGCUGCAGUGCCACCCCUAUCCUAUUGAGUAUUCUGACACGUCCAAGCCAUGUUCUCACUGUGCUUUUUUCAUGGGCUUGCAGAGAAAAGAGGGAUUAAGAGGCCAAGGAGGCCAGCAGUUUGACAUACGGGGAACAGUUGACGAGUUCAGGCAAGAGAUAAACAUGUAUGCCUUUUGGAAGCCAGGGAUGGACAUCUAUGUUUCUCAUGUACGGAGGAAGCAACUGCCCACCUUUGUUUUUCCUGACGGACACAAGCGAGCAAAGCCACUUAGGCAUGAAGGGCAACAAGUUGACACAGUUUGUGCUGAUAUGCUUCAAGAUCAAUCUGGGAUAACUGAAAAGGGGAAAAAAAGGAAAAGUGAUCAUGAAGAAGAAGAGAAGGAAAAGAAACAAGCCUUAAUCAGUCCACCAGCAGAGCAAUCCCCCAUGCCUGAAUUUUUUGGUGGUGAUCCUGAUGGAAAAUGGCCAAGUUCGAAAUUUGCUAAUGCAGAUUGUCAUUUGAAGGUUUGGUCAUCUUUUGAACAGCCUGUUAGCAGAACGGAUACCAAUGGAAAUGGCACAGAUAUUGCAACUUUGACCAAGGAGACUGGUUCUACAGGGGAUCAGCUAGGGCUACCAGCUAAAGAAAUUGAAGAAUCUUCCUCGAGGAAGGAGGUGCCUGAUCUAUAUAAAGGCAGUAUUUCAACAUCCAAGGAAGCUCUACAAAUUGGAACGGACAGGGAAAAUGUCGAUGGGUUAGCACCGAAUAUGAAUGGAAGUGUGCAGACAGUAUCCAUCAGGACUCUUCUCCAUUGGACAAAGGAUGUUGUGAGGAUUGACUCCGAAUCAGGAAAUACAUAUGGUGAAAUGACAGGGGGUGAGAGUACCCAAGUUGAAUUUCAACCAAAUUGCAAUACACAUAACCUUAGUUGCAAGGGCAAUGAUAGCAGGACAGAUCCAGAUUUGGCGUUGGAUAAUGGUUCUGUUGUGACUGGAAGAGUGUCUCAAAAUGGUCAAUCUAAAGUGUUGGAGCCGAAGAUCAGCAAUCAGGCAGUCACCGAAUGGAGUUAAUCAGAAUCUAAGCAAAAUUCUGGUAAAAAGGAGUCUUGGGGGAUCUGGCUAGAAGCAUCCUUUGAACAGACUGAAUCUGAACCUCAAGGUGACAUGCGAUGGGCAAAUACUGGAUGCUGGAUGGGUUGUGAGGUCAGACCUGACCAUCAUUUGGUAAGUAUCACCUCAAUUACUGGCUUUGAUUAAUGAUGUAUAUGGUGUUCAUCAUGUAUGAACCUGCGGCUUGGGGAGGAGUCACAUGGCUUGGUGGCAUGGCAUAUGGUUCAGCUCCAAUAUGCUGUUUAUUGUCCUUGAUCAUGGGAAUCCGAAGCAGCAGUGUUGGGGAAAAAACCUUAAAGACUGCAUGCAAUGCUUUGAAGAAUCUGGUGCAUUUCAUUUUAGAUGCCUGGCACUCGAACCUUCACAGCUUCCCAUUUUUAGAAGAUGGGAGAUUCUUUGUGAAGGAACUGCUCAUGCGGUCGUUUCUGGGGUGAAUGCAAUCUACACUUCCAAGACCUUCAAUCUUGCAGUUUAACCAUAUUGAGUUCGACUUGCACAUUAGGAGUGCCGAGGAGGGGAAUAGCAUCAAAUUCAAUGGCAUGCUUUCUCCUAUCACAAGCUUCUGGAGGACUGCAUUGGCGUAGAAUACGCAGAACUUCUUUCAUCGAAGGUCGUAUUUCAGGAUGUUAUGGUAUGAACUUACCUGGGGCUAUGUAGCCAAAUGAUCCUGCUAUUGCAGAGAUGGUGUGGGGCUCUCCCUGACUGGCGAGCAUCUUGGCCAACCCAAAAUCUGCUAUCUUUGCCUGAAACUCACGGUCUAAUAAGAUAUUACUCGACUUCACAUCUCGAUGAAUGAUUGGUGGAGAGCAAUCAUGGUGCAUAUAACUGAGGCCCUGUGCAGCUCCAAUAGCAAUUUGCAACCUCCGCGGCCAGUCUAAGACAGAUUGCUCAAGAAAAUUCAUUGCUGCAGAUGUUAACCUUUUCUUCUUUUUAUGAAGCCACCUAUCUAGGCUCUGAUUUUCCAUGUAUUCAUAGACUAAAAGCUUUGAAUUCUCAUUCCAGACGCAGCAUAGCAGCUUCACUAUAUUUGAAUGCCGAAUUGAGCCUAGUA